Schistosoma rodhaini is the source of this 45-nucleotide non-coding RNA. The record is from Rfam. Lineage: Eukaryota; Metazoa; Platyhelminthes; Trematoda; Strigeidida; Schistosomatidae.
AUCUAGCUGACGAGUUUCAAAUAGAAAGAAACGCGCAUCCUGGAU